AGUUUGAUCCUGGCUCAGGACGAACGCUGGCGGCGUGCUUAAUACAUGCAAGUCGAGCGAGGCCUUGGAAUUGGAGUCCUUCGGGAUGAAGAGUCCUUGGCCUAGCGGCGGACGGGUGAGUAACGCGUGGGCAACCUACCCCAAAGUCCGGGAUAACAGUGGGAAACCGCUGCUAAUACCGGAUGGCUUUACCUGAGGGCAUCCUUGGGUAAAGAAAGGUUACGCUUUGGGAUGGGCCCGCGUCCCAUUAGCUAGUUGGUGAGGUAGCGGCUCACCAAGGCGACGAUGGGUAGCCGGCCUGAGAGGGUGAACGGCCACACUGGGACUGAGACACGGCCCAGACUCCUACGGGAGGCAGCAGUAGGGAAUAUUGCGCAAUGGGCGGAAGCCUGACGCAGCGACGCCGCGUGAGCGAAGAAGGCCUUCGGGUCGUAAAGCUCUGUCCUUGGGGAAGAAGGCGAAAGCUUGACGGUACCCAAGAAGAAAGCCCCGGCUAACUACGUGCCAGCAGCCGCGGUAAUACGUAGGGGGCGAGCGUUGUCCGGAAUUACUGGGCGUAGAGGGUGCGUAGGCGGCCUUUUAAGUCAGAUGUGAAAGGCUGCGGCUUAACCGCAGGACUGCACUUGAAACUGGAAGGCUUGAGUGUCGGAGAGGGUAGUGGAAUUCCCAGUGUAGCGGUGAAAUGCGUAGAUAUUGGGAGGAACACCAGUGGCGAAGGCGACUACCUGGACGAUAACUGACGCUGAGGCACGAAAGCUAGGGGAGCAAACAGGAUUAGAUACCCUGGUAGUCCUAGCCGUAAACG
Molecule: ribosomal RNA, 805 nt
Filed under: uncultured bacterium
Lineage: Bacteria
Description: bacterial SSU rRNA
Rfam family: Bacterial small subunit ribosomal RNA
Source: RNAcentral